Molecule: ribosomal RNA, 497 nt
Filed under: uncultured bacterium
Lineage: Bacteria
Description: partial 16S ribosomal RNA
Rfam family: Bacterial small subunit ribosomal RNA
Source: RNAcentral
GAUGAACGCUGGCGGCGUGCCUAAUACAUGCAAGUCGAGCGAACAGAUGAGGAGCUUGCUCCUCUGACGUUAGCGGCGGACGGGUGAGUAACACGUGGAUAACCUACCUAUAAGACUGGGAUAACUUCGGUAAACCGGAGCUAAUACCGGAUAAUAUAUUGAACCGCAUGGUUCAAUAGUGAAAGACGGUUUUGCUGUCACUUAUAGAUGGAUCCGCGCCGCAUUAGCUAGUUGGUAAGGUAACGGCUUACCAAGGCAACGAUGCGUAGCCGACCUGAGAGGGUGAUCGGCCACACUGGAACUGAGACACGGUCCAGACUCCUACGGGAGGCAGCAGUAGGGAAUCUUCCGCAAUGGGCGAAAGCCUGACGGAGCAACGCCGCGUGAGUGAUGAAGGUCUUCGGAUCGUAAAACUCUGUUAUUAGGGAAGAACAAAUGUGUAAGUAACUAUGCACGUCUUGACGGUACCUAAUCAGAAAGCCACGGCUAACUACGUG